RNAcentral lists this ribosomal RNA (303 nucleotides) under uncultured bacterium. Its description in RNAcentral is "partial 16S ribosomal RNA". It matches the Rfam family "Bacterial small subunit ribosomal RNA", at positions 507 to 809 of the family's 1533-position model. The record is from RNAcentral.
AGCAGUAGCCACGGUAAUACAGAGGGUGCGAGCGUUAAUCGGAUUUACUGGGCGUAAAGCGUGCGUAGGCGGCUUCUUAAGUCGGAUGUGAAAUCCCUGAGCUUAACUUAGGAAUUGCAUUCGAUACUGGGAAGCUAGAGUAUGGGAGAGGAUGGUAGAAUUCCAGGUGUAGCGGUGAAAUGCGUAGAGAUCUGGAGGAAUACCGAUGGCGAAGGCAGCCAUCUGGCCUAAUACUGACGCUGAGGUACGAAAGCAUGGGGAGCAAACAGGAUUAGAGACCCGCGUAGUCCCUGUCUCUUAUAA